RNAcentral lists this ribosomal RNA (500 nucleotides) under uncultured bacterium. RNAcentral's name for it is "partial 16S ribosomal RNA". It matches the Rfam family "Bacterial small subunit ribosomal RNA", at positions 30 to 523 of the family's 1533-position model. The record is from RNAcentral.
AUUGAACGCUGGCGGAAUGCUUUACACAUGCAAGUCGAACGGCAGCACGGACUUCGGUCUGGUGGCGAGUGGCGAACGGGUGAGUAACAUAUCGGAACGUAUCCAAUAAUGGGGGAUAACGAGUUGAAAGAUUCGCUAAUACCGCAUACGCCCUACGGGGGAAAGCUGGGGAUCGCAAGACCUGGCGUUAAUGGAGCGGCCGAUAUCUGAUUAGCUAGUUGGUGAGGUAAAGGCUCACCAAGGCGACGAUCAGUAGCUGGUCUGAGAGGACGACCAGCCACACUGGAACUGAGACACGGUCCAGACUCCUACGGGAGGCAGCAGUGGGGAAUUUUGGACAAUGGGCGCAAGCCUGAUCCAGCCAUUCCGCGUGAGUGAAGAAGGCCUUCGGGUUGUAAAGCUCUUUCGCAAGGGAAGAAAACUUACCCUCUAGCAUAGGGUGAGGUUGACGGUACCUUGAUAAGAAGCACCGGCUAACUACGUGCCAGCCGCCGCCGUAA